AACGAACGCUGGCGGCAGGCCUCAAACAUGCAAGUCUAGGGGGUGCAGCAAUGCAUCACCGGCGGACGGGUGCGUAACGCGUGGGAAUAUACCUAUUGGUUCGGAACAACUGCGGGAAACUGCAGCUAAUACCGAAUGUGCCCUAACGGGGAAAGAUUUAUCGCCAAUGGAUUAGCCCGCGUAGGAUUAGCUAGUUGGUGGGGUAAUGGCUCACCAAGGCUCCGAUCCUUAGCNGUUCUGAGAGGAAGAUCAGCCACACUGGGACUGAGACACGGCCCAGACUCCUACGGGAGGCAGCAGUUGGGAAUCUUGGACAAUGGGGGAAACCCUGAUCCAGCCAUGCCGCGUGAGUGAUGAAGGCCUU
This 364-nucleotide ribosomal RNA is filed under the name uncultured bacterium. Its description in RNAcentral is "bacterial SSU rRNA". It matches the Rfam family "Bacterial small subunit ribosomal RNA", at positions 29 to 418 of the family's 1533-position model. The record is from RNAcentral.